RNAcentral lists this long non-coding RNA (270 nucleotides) under Prunus persica (peach). RNAcentral describes it as "long non-coding RNA (PPER_LNC000868)". The record is from RNAcentral. Lineage: Eukaryota; Viridiplantae; Streptophyta; Magnoliopsida; Rosales; Rosaceae.
GGAACGAGCCGUCCAACCGAGGGACUGGCUCACCAACAUGUACAAUAGAAUCCUCAAUACUCGUACGCUUAUGACAAGUCCUACGAGCGCAGACUAACCCUUCUAAGGAUCUACGAAACAUCCCGUCAAGGGUGCUCGGGUUCCAACAUAUCCGAGUAUCCUAAACUUUCAAGUAUCCAAUCCAAUUAUUCCAAAACCGGGGAGGUACAUAGGGUAGUGCUAAUAGCACUCAAAACUGACUUAAAUCACAACCAACUCACAUUCCAAAAU